Molecule: long non-coding RNA, 546 nt
Filed under: Fukomys damarensis (Damara mole-rat)
Lineage: Eukaryota; Metazoa; Chordata; Mammalia; Rodentia; Bathyergidae
Description: lncRNA (ENSFDAG00000028226.1)
Source: RNAcentral
AUUCCAUCCACCAUCUGGUUGUUCCCAGAGACAGGAACAGCAGGGGCCUGGGCUUGGCUAUGCAGAUGCAUUUGGCUCUCAGUGCCAGUGCUGCCAACUUGGCCACCUGUUAUAAUGUGGGGCUGUCAUCUACAUGACCAUUUGCCAGUGCUGUUUCCAGAGAAAUUCUGUUCCUGAAGUGGCAUGACUGUCAGGGCCAAGAAGGGGCCUGGGCACAGCAGGACCACCUGCAGCAGCCAAGAGACCUGCACAGCCCCAACACAACGAGCGAUGAGGAAGGAGAGCCGAGGAGGAUCAGAUGGGAAAGACGUGUCCAGGGCCCUGCAGCUGGAAUUUGAAGUGGAUUCCAGACGUCUACCUCUUUCCGUGAAAAUCACCUGUUCCUGUUCACAGAGGGAGAAGUAAAUCUGGCUUGCUUUAAAAAAAAAAAAAAGUAUUAUGGCAUGUUUGCAGUACAUAGUGUUUACAUACAUUUUAAGAGGUAAGUACAUGUACUUAACACAUCUUAAUUCUUUUUUAUUCCCCUUCCUUUCCCCUGCUCACCCU